This 253-nucleotide non-coding RNA is filed under the name uncultured bacterium. Its description in RNAcentral is "partial 16S ribosomal RNA". It matches the Rfam family "Bacterial small subunit ribosomal RNA", at positions 524 to 776 of the family's 1533-position model. RNAcentral also lists the same sequence under 2 other names. The record is from RNAcentral.
UACGUAGGGGGCAAGCGUUAUCCGGAUUUACUGGGUGUAAAGGGAGCGCAGACGGAACUGCAAGUCUGAUGUGAAAGCCCGGGGCUCAACCGCGGGACUGCAUUGGAAACUGUAGAUCUGGAGUGCCGGAGGGGCAAGCGGAAUUCCUGGUGUAGCGGUGAAAUGCGUAGAUAUCAGGAGGAACACCGGCGGCGAAGGCGGCUUGCUGGACGGCAACUGACGUUGAGGCUCGAAAGCGUGGGGAGCAAACAGG